Coniella lustricola is the source of this 111-nucleotide non-coding RNA. The record is from the annotation of a GenBank genome assembly. NCBI's taxonomy places the organism in Eukaryota, Fungi, Ascomycota, Sordariomycetes, Diaporthales, Schizoparmaceae.
GGCAAGAUGGCCGAGCGGUCUAAGGCGCCAGACUCAAGAGACGAUCUUGCUUACGAAACGUAGGUACUUCUGGUAUCGAAAGAUGCGUGGGUUCAAAUCCCACUCUUGUCA